RNAcentral lists this unclassified non-coding RNA (374 nucleotides) under soil metagenome. RNAcentral describes it as "partial contains 5.8S ribosomal RNA, internal transcribed spacer 2, and large subunit ribosomal RNA". The stretch from base 1 to 120 matches the Rfam family "5.8S ribosomal RNA", at positions 35 to 154 of the family's 154-position model. The record is from RNAcentral.
GAUGAAGAACGUAUCGAAAUGCGAUAAGUAAUGUGAAUUGCAGAAUUCAGUGAAUCAUCGAAUCUUUGAACGCACAUUGCGCCCGCCAGUAUUCUGGCGGGCAUGCCUGUUCGAGCGUCAUUUCAACCCUCAAGACCCCUUCGGGGGACUUGGUGUUGGGGACCGGCACAGGGGCCUGCCUGCUUGUCUUGCAGCGCCCUCGCCGCCCCCGAAAUGAAUUGGCGGCCUCGUCGCGGCCUCCCCUGCGUAGUAGCACAACCUCGCAACGGGAACGUGACGGCGGCCACUGCCGUAAAACAACCCAAUUUUAUUAGAGUUGACCUCGAAUCAGGUAGGAAUACCCGCUGAACUUAAGCAUAUCAAUAAGCGGAGGA